AUACAGAGGGUGCGAGCGUUAAUCGGAAUUACUGGGCGUAAAGCGCGCGUAGGCGGCUUAUUAAGUCAGAUGUGAAAUCCCCGGGCUCAACCUGGGAACUGCAUCUGAUACUGGUAAGCUAGAGUUUUGGAGAGGGAAGUAGAAUUUCAGGUGUAGCGGUGAAAUGCAUAGAGAUCUGAAGGAAUACCAGUGGCGAAGGCGACUUCCUGGCCAAAAACUGACGCUGAGGCGCGAAAGCGUGGGUAGCAAACGGGAUUAGAUACCCUAGUAGUCC
RNAcentral lists this ribosomal RNA (274 nucleotides) under uncultured bacterium. RNAcentral describes it as "partial 16S ribosomal RNA". It matches the Rfam family "Bacterial small subunit ribosomal RNA", at positions 523 to 796 of the family's 1533-position model. The record is from RNAcentral.